CGCCUUGUCAACAGCACUUGCUUCUGUCCACGUAAACUAAAUAGUCAUAAGCUUCCUUCUGUCUCGGCAAAGUAGGGAGUCAUAAGCUUCCUUCUCUUCCGGCAAAGUAGGGAGAGUCAUUCAGCUUCAUUCUAUUCUGGGAAACUAGGGAGAGUCAUUAAGCUUCCUUAUAUCCCGCAAAGUAGGGAUAAUCAUUCAGCUUCCUCUAUUCUGGCAAAGUAGGGAGAGUCAUUAAGCUCCCUUAUAUCUCAGCAAAGAAGGGAGAGUCGUUAAGCUUCUUUCCAUUCCAGCAAGGAAGAUGGAGUCAUUAAAAAAAAAAAAAAAAAAAAGUAAUUAAAGUUGAGUCAUUAAAAUUAAGUUGGGAAAAGUACGAGCUGUGGGCCAGACCAAAAGACCCACGUCACCUUUAAGGUGGUAAUCUUCACACACACACACAUACACACACACACACACACCUAUUUCUCUUAUUCUCACCUCUACCAGUGAGAAAAGAAUGGCGAAAGAGAAUUAUAUAGAUUUGCGAAAGAAAAUUAUGUAGACCUGCGAAAGAGAAUGAAUUAUAUAGACCUCCUGCUACUGGUAGUGAAAUUAUAUAGGCUCACGUUAAUUAGUCUUCCCCUCAUCUCCUAGCUCCCUCUCGGCUUUUGCCCUAACACCCACGCAAGGAUGAUGGCCAAAAAUAUAAAAUAAAUGAAUAAAUAAAUAUUUCAUUUUUACCUCUACCAGCGAGGAGAGAACACCUCUCUCUCACUCUCGCCUCUCCCAAAAGACAUGGUGUCAGCGAUGAAAAAAAAAAACGUAAAUGCAAUUAGAAAAUUCCUUUAAAAGCAUUAAAAAGGGAUAAUAAGUUAAAUGAGGCACCAUUAGUAAACAAGAAGCAUCAUUCGGCUUGAGUGGAGUAUGAUUGUAAGAAAUUGAGAAGAAAAUGAGAUGUAAGAAAGUGUUUUUUUUUUUUUUUUAUGUAUUAGGGGCACCGGUCAAGGACAAAAAAACUGCUGAGAAUACUGAUUAAUUCUUGCAUUAGAGAUGUGGACAGAAUAGGGGGUGAGAGAGAGAAGAAAGUCUUGUGCAGCGAGGCCGCGGGAGGAUAGGAGGCGUCUUGCAGAGGAAUAAAAGUACCAGUGUAACUACAAAAAAAAAAAAAAAAAUAAAUAAAUAUUUCCGACGUUCUGGCACGGAGAUUAUGCCAUUAUCAAGGAGCUGUGGAUAAAUAACAGCGUGUGAAAGCUAUAUAUGUAAAGAUAAAAACAAGAGAUCUAAAAAUAAAUAAAUAAAAAUAAAUAACUAAAUAAAGAGGGCAGGGUGACUGGAUGUUAUUAAGUUCAGUAGUUAAUUUUCUCAUGUACAUUAAUUCCAAUAUUCUAAUGUUAGCAUUGUUUCAGGAGUCUAAAAUUUCAAAGUAAUAUCUUUCCACACUGAACUAGCAGUUGUUCUCUGACUGCAGAGGCGCAAGUAGAGGGCGGCCGGUCCUGUUCGUAUGAUCUAAGUGCUCAUCUGUCCUGCGUUUUUUGGGGAUAAAUUUUAGAUUCGCUUUUGUGAAUGAUUUUAAAAUGGGUUCAUUUUUUAAGUUCAAGGACCGCCUGCCGACCGACCUAAGAUCAUCUGUUGUUUACAAAUUCACUUGCCCUAGUUGCCAUGUAGGCAGUACUGAAUGUGGGUCCAAUCAACCCGGACGACACCGGGACCCAAUUCUCUACGAGUGCCAAUGAAGUCUAGUUCUUGAGUGUGUGUAGACUUCUUUUUAUCGCGCAAAUAACAGGUGUUUCGUGAUAUUGCAGGCCCUCCACACGUGUCUGAAUCAUUCAGGUCUAUCCUCCAUUGUCUAAUCUUGUCUGGCCACUGGUUGGUAAGGCCUAACUAGGUGCUAAGGCUGGGAUACCUGAGCUUGGCCACCCACUCAGCUCUGACAAGGCUUGCUCCAACUUCCCUGAAGGUUCCUGCAGGAAUGGCCAUUGUAUGUGCUGCAGAGAGUAUUGCUACAGUGGAGCUGUAUGGCCAGAUACCAAUAUGAGUAGCCAGGAGCAGCAGGAUCAGUCUAUCUCGGGUGUGGGGGACCUCAUAUGUGGUGGCAAUAAUCGUCUUGUGGCAAAUGGUUUGCUCCAUAGAGAAGAGAAUGAGUUAGAGUGCAACCAGUGUGGUAAAUCCUUUAAAUACAAGAGUUAUCUUAGCAAACAUAUCCUCACACACAGUGUUGCUCAAAAUUAUUCAUGUCAACAAUGUGGAAAAAUUUUUGCUCAUAAAUCUCAUCUCAACAGACAUACAGUGAGACACAGUGGUGUUAGAAAUCAUGAAUGCAAAGAGUGUGGGAGAAGAUUUACUGAUAAGUCUAAUCUUAUUCAUCACAUCAAAACACAUAGUAGUGUACGAAAUCAUGAAUGUUUGGAAUGUGGAAAAAAAUUCACUCGAGAAACUCACCUCACUAAACACAUCCUGGCACAUAAUGGCGUUAAAGAUUAUGAAUGCCAAGAAUGUGGUAAAAAAUUUACCCAAAAGUGUAACCUCAGCCGCCACACCCAGACACACACCGGUGAAAAAAAUUAUGAAUGCAAAGUCUGUGGGAAAAAAUUUGCUCAAAAGGUAAAUCUCAAUACACAUACCAUGAGACACACUGGGGUAAGAAAUUAUGAAUGUGAUGAGUGUGGGAGAAGAUUCCUUACCAGUUAUUCUCUUAACAGACAUGUCUUCAGACACAGUAACUUGAAGGAGGUAAAGUGUGAUGUUUGUGGGAAGUGUUUCAAGACAAAGGAUGACAUUGCUAGCCACAUAAGGGUCCACUUGUACCCAAAGAAACAAAAAAAAUGUAAAAUGAAACUUUAAAAAUGGAAAAGAAGAGGAAAAAGAAAGUUGUUAGCACAAAUGUUGAUGCUAGUAUCAAAUCUUAUUUUCUUAUGUUCUCCAAGAUUAUACAUUUUGAUUUUCAUCUCUUCAUUGUUUUAAUUUUUUACUGCUUACUUUUAUGAUACUUUAGUACUGUGCUUUUUCUUUAGCUAGUAUCUUCUCCUUUCAGCUUCUCCCAUUAGGGGUUAGUACAGCAGAUCACCCUUCUCCAAUAUGUUCAGUCUUCAGCACCUUCCUUUGUCACACCCACCACUUGCAUGUCUUCUUUCACUAUAUCCAUAAAACUCCUCUUUGGUCUUCCUCUCUUCCUUCUGCUGGAUAGGUCCAUUUCUAGCAUCAUCCUUCCCACAUAUGUCUCAUCCCUUCUUCUGACAUGUCUGAACCAUCUCAGUCUUACCUCUCUUGCCUUGUUCCCAAACCAGCAUUGUGUGUUGUCCCUCUGAUGUGUUCAUUCUUUAUUUUGUCUCAUCUUGUUACUCCAAGAGCACUGCAUUGUAGCAUCUUCAAUUCUGCUACUUCCAUCUUCAUCUCUUGUCUCUUUGUUAUUAGUAGUUUCCAUAUCAUACAGCAUGAUUGUCCUCACUACCAUUUUCUAAACCUUUCUGUUUCUGUUUCUACACCUUUCAGUUUGUUCUUGUAGAAAUGUUUCUGUCACAUAUCACUCCUGUCACCCUCCUCCAGCCAGUCCAUCCAGCCUACACUCUCUUCUUAACUUCACUAGCACAUUCUCUAUUCCUCUGUACUGUUGAACCCAAGCCAACCUUUAUCAUCUCUACACCCUGUAGCCCUAUUGUUUCCCAGCUAUCUCUGUUAAGACACAGGUACUCAGUUUUGGACCUGCUCACUUUCAGUCCCCUCCUCUCCAGUGCAUGUCUCCAUCGCUCCAGUUCUGCUUCCACUUCUCUAGCUAUCAUAUUAACUAGGAGUUGCUGUUAACAACCAUAUCACAUAUGAUGAUUAACUCAAGACAAGACUUUUAUUAAUUCACAAACCAAGUCUUAAUUAUUGUGAUGUCAGAUUGGUAGUAACUAGACAGAGACAUGCUAAUGAGGACAGCUGUAUGUAUAUUAAGGAGUUGGUGCAUAAGAAUGGACACAUGGACAUAAGUGAAGUAGCUAAAGAUCAUACCUUAAGAAAUGUAACGAGCUGUUUGCUCUGGCAAACAGCAUAGAACAUAGUACAUAUUGUGACCUAUAUAGAUGCUGUUUUUCUCUUUGUAUUUUCAUAACUGUAUAAAACGUGUACUGUGACAUAAGUCCCUGUUGUUUUUGUUUAUUUUUGAUGAUAAUGUAUGUGUUUAUUAAUGUUAUGAAAAUAAAAUAUGAAAUCUAU
RNA transcript from Scylla paramamosain (green mud crab), 4170 nucleotides. It is a transcript of the gene named gastrula zinc finger protein XlCGF7.1-like, with no coding region annotated. The transcript has 2 exons. NCBI's taxonomy places the organism in Eukaryota, Metazoa, Arthropoda, Malacostraca, Decapoda, Portunidae. The record is from RefSeq and is a predicted model, not a curated record.